UUGAGAGGGUAAGGCUCCCAGUAGACGACUGGGUUGAUAGGCCGGAUAUGGAAGCCCUGUAAGGGGUGGAGUUGACCGGUACUAAUAGGCCGAGGGCUUGUCCUC
Molecule: ribosomal RNA, 105 nt
Filed under: Streptomyces albidoflavus
Lineage: Bacteria; Bacillati; Actinomycetota; Actinomycetes; Kitasatosporales; Streptomycetaceae
Description: partial 23S ribosomal RNA
Rfam family: Bacterial large subunit ribosomal RNA
Source: RNAcentral